RNAcentral lists this ribosomal RNA (253 nucleotides) under uncultured bacterium. RNAcentral's name for it is "partial 16S ribosomal RNA". It matches the Rfam family "Bacterial small subunit ribosomal RNA", at positions 524 to 776 of the family's 1533-position model. The record is from RNAcentral.
UACGUAGGGUGCGAGCGUUAAUCGGAAUUACUGGACGUAAAGCGUGCGCAGGCGGCGCGUUAAGACAGGUGUGAAAGCCCCGAGCUUAACUUGGGAAUUGCGCUUGUGACUGGCGUGCUGGAGUGUGGCAGAGGGAGGUGGAAUUCCACGUGUAGCAGUGAAAUGCGUAGAGAUGUGGAGGAACACCGAUGGCGAAGGCAGCCUCCUGGGCCAACACUGACGCUCAUGCACGAAAGCGUGGGGAGCAAACAGG